CUCGAUCAGAGAAACUAACUUUUAUUUAUUCUACUUGUAAACCAUAUUAUACUUAUCUAUGAUUCUACUCUUCGAAACUAGUUAUUACUUUGUAUGAAGAAACUCUUGACAAAAAUUUAAAGCUGAAGGAACAUAGGAUCUUUCUACUGACUAAAUCAGACAUUAAUUUACUGAUUGAUGCUGACAGUACAAACGUUUCGAGAGACGAGUACGAAAUUAAAUGAGAACUAAAUUAAUUAUUGAAUCAAUGUGUGUAGAUCACAAUUAUUUAUUGAGAUAUUCAAUGGAUUUGUAAAGAAAUGUAAUUCUUUAAUUAAUAAAUAAUGAAAUAAAACAAAAAAAAAAAAAAAAA
Molecule: unclassified non-coding RNA, 352 nt
Filed under: Melitaea cinxia (Glanville fritillary)
Lineage: Eukaryota; Metazoa; Arthropoda; Insecta; Lepidoptera; Nymphalidae
Description: misc RNA ENSMCXG00005015580.1
Source: RNAcentral